UUGAAUAGUAGGAUAGGAUCUAGUACGUGCUCUCAGGCAUGUGAUGGUCCUGUCUUGUACACACGCCCGUCACUAUUCAGAUGUCAUAGGAUGAAGAGCUUCGGCUCUGAUAUCUAUGGCUAGAUAAAGUACAAGUCGUAACAAGGUUUCAGUUGGAGAACCAGCUGAAGGAUCAUUU
This 178-nucleotide non-coding RNA is filed under the name Enterocytozoon bieneusi H348. RNAcentral describes it as "Microsporidia small subunit ribosomal RNA". It matches the Rfam family "Microsporidia small subunit ribosomal RNA", at positions 1109 to 1311 of the family's 1311-position model. Lineage: Eukaryota; Fungi; Microsporidia; Enterocytozoonidae. The record is from Rfam by way of RNAcentral.